This 69-nucleotide transfer RNA is filed under the name Dipodomys ordii (Ord's kangaroo rat). It matches the Rfam family "tRNA". Rfam says of the family: Transfer RNA (tRNA) molecules are approximately 80 nucleotides in length. Lineage: Eukaryota; Metazoa; Chordata; Mammalia; Rodentia; Heteromyidae. The record is from Rfam by way of RNAcentral.
GGGGAUGUAGCUCAGUGGUAGAGCAUUUGUCUAGCAAUCAACAGACCCAAGAUUUAAUUCCCAGCACCA